Molecule: long non-coding RNA, 226 nt
Filed under: Ananas comosus (pineapple)
Lineage: Eukaryota; Viridiplantae; Streptophyta; Magnoliopsida; Poales; Bromeliaceae
Description: long non-coding RNA (ACOM_LNC012786)
Source: RNAcentral
AUUCAUUUUGGUGUGCAUAUAAUGCCCCAAUAAUUUCAUAUUGGGUGAAAAAUUUAUUCUGAUUAGAAUAUAUGAGGCAUAUGGACUAGUAAUAAUAGCUGCUUUAAGUAUUUUGGGCCAAUAGUUUCGGCCCAACGAGUUAUUAUUGCUAGCAGGUCAGAUUGUUACAAUGUAAAAUUUGGCUUUCCAUCAGUUUAACAGCUUAGAUGUCCAAUUCUAUAAUGGA